RNAcentral lists this ribosomal RNA (253 nucleotides) under uncultured bacterium. RNAcentral's name for it is "partial 16S ribosomal RNA". It matches the Rfam family "Bacterial small subunit ribosomal RNA", at positions 524 to 776 of the family's 1533-position model. The record is from RNAcentral.
GACGUAGGGUGCGAGCGUUGUCCGGAAUUAUUGGGCGUAAAGAGCGUGUAGGCGGCCUGAAAGGUCAGCUGUGAAAACUCGAGGCUCAACCUCGAGACGUCGGUUGAAACCAUCUGGCUAGAGUCCGGAAGAGGAGAGUGGAAUUCCCGGUGUAGCGGUGAAAUGCGCAGAUAUCAGGAGGAACACCAAUAGCGAAGGCAGCGCGCUGGGACGUUACUGACACUGAGGCGCGAAAGCGUGGGGAGCGAACAGG